UACGUAGGGUGCAAGCGUUAAUCGGAAUUACUGGGCGUAAAGCGUGCGCAGGCGGUUUUGUAAGUCUGUCGUGAAAUCCCCGGGCUCAACCUGGGAAUUGCGAUGGAGACUGCAAGGCUAGAAUCUGGCAGAGGGGGGUAGAAUUCCAGGUGUAGCAGUGAAAUGCGUAGAGAUCUGGAGGAACACCGAUGGCGAAGGCAGCCCCCUGGGCUGACACUGACGCUCAUGCACGAAAGCGUGGGGAGCAAACAGG
This 253-nucleotide ribosomal RNA is filed under the name uncultured bacterium. RNAcentral describes it as "partial 16S ribosomal RNA". It matches the Rfam family "Bacterial small subunit ribosomal RNA", at positions 524 to 776 of the family's 1533-position model. The record is from RNAcentral.